This is a small nuclear RNA of Myotis lucifugus (little brown bat), 107 nucleotides long. The record is from Ensembl. Lineage: Eukaryota; Metazoa; Chordata; Mammalia; Chiroptera; Vespertilionidae.
GUGCUCGCUUCGCCAGCACAUUUACUAAAAUUGGAAUGAUACAGAGAAGAUUAGCAAGGCCCCUGUGCAAGGAUGACACGCAAAUUCAUAAAGCGUUUCAUAUUUUU